AUUGAACGCUGGCGGCAGGCCUAACACAUGCAAGUCGAACGGUAACAGGAAGCAGCUUGCUGCUUCGCUGACGAGUGGCGGACGGGUGAGUAAUGUCUGGGAAACUGCCUGAUGGAGGGGGAUAACUACUGGAAACGGUAGCUAAUACCGCAUACCGUCGCAAGACCAAAGAGGGGGACCUUAGGGCCUCUUGCCAUCGGCUGUGCCCAGAUGGGAUUAGCUAGUAGGUGGGGUAACGGCUCACCUAGGCGACGAUCCCUAGCUGGUCUGAGAGGAUGACCAGCCACACUGGAACUGAGACACGGUCCAGACUCCUACGGGAGGCAGCAGUGGGGAAUAUUGCACAAUGGGCGCAAGCCUGAUGCAGCCAUGCCGCGUGUAUGAAGAAGGCCUUCGGGUUGUAAAGUACUUUCAGCGGGGAGGAAGGGAGUAAAGUUAAUACCUUUGCUCAUUGACGUUACCCGCAGAAGAAGCACCGGCUAACUCCGUG
RNAcentral lists this ribosomal RNA (490 nucleotides) under uncultured bacterium. Its description in RNAcentral is "partial 16S ribosomal RNA". It matches the Rfam family "Bacterial small subunit ribosomal RNA", at positions 30 to 507 of the family's 1533-position model. The record is from RNAcentral.